CCUACGGGAGGCUGCAGUGAGGAAUAUUGGUCAAUGGACGAGAGUCUGAACCAGCCAAGUAGCGUGAAGGAUGACUGCCCUAUGGGUUGUAAACUUCUUUUAUAUGGGAAUAAAAUGUUCCACGUGUGGGAUUUUGUAUGUACCAUAUGAAUAAGGAUCGGCUAACUCCGUGCCAGCAGCCGCGGUAAUACGGAGGAUGCGAGCGUUAUCCGGAUUUAUUGGGUUUAAAGGGAGCGUAGGUGGAUUGUUAAGUCAGUUGUGAAAGUUUGCGGCUCAACCGUAAAAUUGCAGUUGAAACUGGCAGUCUUGAGUACAGUAGAGGUGGGCGGAAUUCGUGGUGUAGCGGUGAAAUGCUUAGAUAUCACGAAGAACUCCGAUUGCGAAGGCAGUUCACUGGACUGCAACUGACACUGAGGCUCGAAAGUGUGGGUAUCAAACAGGAUUAGAUACCCUUGUAGUC
This 460-nucleotide ribosomal RNA is filed under the name uncultured bacterium. RNAcentral's name for it is "partial 16S ribosomal RNA". It matches the Rfam family "Bacterial small subunit ribosomal RNA", at positions 338 to 795 of the family's 1533-position model. The record is from RNAcentral.